Molecule: ribosomal RNA, 1049 nt
Filed under: Xorilbia gracilis
Lineage: Eukaryota; Metazoa; Arthropoda; Arachnida; Pseudoscorpiones; Ideoroncidae
Description: LSU rRNA
Rfam family: Eukaryotic large subunit ribosomal RNA
Source: RNAcentral
GGRUUCCCCUAGUAACGGCGAGCGAACGGGGAAGAGCUCGUAGCCGAAUCCCCAGCUCCAAGGCUGGGGAAAUGUGGCGUAUGGGAGGCGGUCCUCCGGCAGGAUUCGGCGGUACAAGUCCCCAUGAGCGGGGCAAUUGGCCCGGAGGGGGUGCUAGGCCCGUACCGCCGCCGGAUCUCUAUCGGAAUCGUCGCUCUCCCGGGAGUCGGGUUGCUUGGGAGUGCAGCCCAAAGUGGGUGGUAAACUCCACCUAAAGCUAAAUAAGACCGAGAGACCGAUAGCAAACAAGUACCAUGAGGGAAAGUUGAAAAGCACUUUGAAGAGAGAGUUCAAGAGUACGUGAAACCGUUCGGAGGUAAACGGGUGGGACUUCGAAGUCCUGGGUAGUCUAGGAUUCAGCCCGUGCCCGUCAAGGGUUCUUCAGCGUGAUCGCUCCGACGGAGGUCGCGUCGUAGGGCCGUGACGGGAUGGGUGCACUUCCUAGAUCCCCCUUUGGGCGUCGCGACCGGUUCGGAGGUCGUCGUGAGGAGGGCAUGAAAGUUACCGCAUAGUCUUUGGCUAUGUUGUAGUAAGUCAGCCCUACCGGGCAGACCGACGGACCGGGGUUCAACGCUCCCAGCUUUCGGCACCAACGCUUCGACGGAUCCUUGCCCAGAUGCAACGCGCGUCGUGUCCUGGGCUCGCGAUCUUUCGAGUGUGCUGGGUGGCCGUGAGGAGCAGGGGGUCGCGGCGAGUAGGUCGGUUUCCCACCCGACCCGUCUUGAAACACGGACCAAGGAGUCUAACGCGUGUGCGAGUUCCCGGGACUUGACCAGGCCCGCGGGCGCAAUGAAAGUGAAGGUCGGCUCUAGCCGUCCGAGUUGGGAUCCCCCUUCCUCGGGAGGGGGCGCACCAACGGCCCGUCCGACGCCGUUCUCGGCGGGGCGGAGCAGGAGCAUACGCUCUGGGACCCGAAAGAUGGUGAACUAUGCCUGGGCAGGACGAAGCCAGAGGAAACUCUGGUGGAGGUCCGCAGCGAUUCUGACGUGCAAAUCGAUCGUCAGACCUUG